CUGACCUUUUUCUCUGAAUUCUAAAUUUACAUCUCGAAUAUUUUAAUAUUAUUUGUAUGUAAAGCACUUUGAAUUACCAUUGUGUUUGAAAUGUGCUGUAUAAGUAAACUCACCUUGCCUUCUCAAAGGAUUUGACAGUGUCACUGGUGCAAGGGUGCAGACAGAUAUGGCCGGAGCAGCAGGUGAUCCAGUGACUGACGGACAGACUCUAACAGACAUGACAGGGCAGGGACACUUAGCUGUGACAGACAGCAUGCCAAAUUACACAGGUAACCAUGUUUCCUAAGCACAUCCAGACACAUGUCAGUCUAGCACUUAU
This 319-nucleotide long non-coding RNA is filed under the name Sinocyclocheilus grahami. Its description in RNAcentral is "lncRNA (ENSSGRG00000007501.1)". Lineage: Eukaryota; Metazoa; Chordata; Actinopteri; Cypriniformes; Cyprinidae. The record is from RNAcentral.